CCUUUACUAUAGCUUGACACUGAACAUUGAGCCUUGAUGUGUAGGAUAGGUGGGAGGCUUUGAAGUGUGGACGCCAGUCUGCAUGGAGCCGACCUUGAAAUACCACCCUUUAAUGUUUGAUGUUCUAACGUGGACCCGUGAUCCGGGUUGCGGACAGUGUCUGGUGGGUAGUUUGACUGGGGCGGUCUCCUCCUAAAGAGUAACGGAGGAGCACGAAGGUUGGCUAAUCCUGGUCGGACAUCAGGAGGUUAGUGCAAUGGCAUAAGCCAGCUUGACUGCGAGCGUGACGGCGCGAGCAGGUGCGAAAGCAGGUCAUAGUGAUCCGGUGGUUCUGAAUGGAAGGGCCAUCGCUCAACGGAUAAAAGGUACUCCGGGGAUAACAGGCUGAUACCGCCCAAGAGUUCAUAUCGACGGCGGUGUUUGGCACCUCGAUGUCGGCUCAUCACAUCCUGGGGCUGAAGUAGGUCCCAAGGGUAUGGCUGUUCGCCAUUUAAAGUGGUACGCGAGCUGGGUUUAGAACGUCGUGAGACAGUUCGGUCCCUAUCUGCCGUGGGCGCUGGAGAACUGAGGGGGGCUGCUCCUAGUACGAGAGGACCGGAGUGGACGCAUCACUGGUGUUCGGGUUGUCAUGCCAAUGGCACUGCCCGGUAGCUAAAUGCGGAAGAGAUAAGUGCUGAAAGCAUCUAAGCACGAAACUUGCCCCGA
This 705-nucleotide ribosomal RNA is filed under the name Salmonella enterica subsp. enterica serovar Infantis. RNAcentral's name for it is "partial 23S ribosomal RNA". It matches the Rfam family "Bacterial large subunit ribosomal RNA", at positions 2098 to 2802 of the family's 2925-position model. RNAcentral also lists the same sequence under 2 other names. Lineage: Bacteria; Pseudomonadati; Pseudomonadota; Gammaproteobacteria; Enterobacterales; Enterobacteriaceae. The record is from RNAcentral.